UGUGCGCCUCCGUGUCUUCGAGGCCAUGCAUCGCAUCUCCCGCUGGAUGGCCACGCUCGCUGGAUGCUGAGCACCACACACCCGUCAAGGAGGGACAGCGGAGGCGAGGGCUGCCUGGCUACGCGCUACCGUCCGCUGCCGACAGGAGGGCACCGUUGUAGCCUGCAGGUGUCCGUGCUGCCGGGAGCGCGGGACCGCAGUAGACCACCAUCGUUGUGGCCUUGUGCGGCACUCUGGCUCGCAGGCCAGCGGCCGCGUCACCACGCGAUUGACCGCAGGCCAACGUCGUCGCGUGCUUCGCCGCAGAGGGACGCGGCGAUAGGCGGCGUCAGGGCCAAAGGCGGCAGUGCGCGCUGGGAGCCGUCUCGAAGCCGAUGUCCUCACCGAGGCCAACGACCGUGGGCGCACUUCGGGCUGGGAUCCACUUCCGCUGUCGGAAAGUCGCUCCAGAGGACGCUGGUGCGCCGCGCUCCGGGCCGAGCGCCAUGGCGGGGCUGCUCGCCUCGCGCCGGGUGCGCCGCCAUUGCCGGGUGCACGCUUGGUGGCACUGCCUCACUGCGGGGUGGGGAGCACUGCGCGGGAGGCCUCGCCGGGACGCCGGGUCGCUCUCCAGGUGCAUGGUGGGCGUGAUUGGAAUCGUCGCCUCUGCCCACGUUGGGGCGCCGGGCCUUGUCCGCCGCGUAAAUCCAGGGCAAAAUCCACGGACGCGCUUGUUCCAGCCGUUGCCGCGCCGGACACCGGGAGGAAAAACGUCGAAGCCGAGGGCCUUGGCUGCAGCAGGAGAACCGGGCUGAGGUCGCAGUUGCCGUCCUGGUCUGCCGUCGAGGUGCGCAGCGCCGUGCGCCGCCUGCCAGCGCUGGAGCGCUGGGCUUCCUUCGGCACGCCGGGCCGGAGGGCAUCGUCACGCUGAGUGCUCGCUGCUGCAGACGAGUCUGGCCGUGAAAUCACUCCGCCAGAGAGCGUGCUGAUAACGUGUUAGAAGACUAAAAAGAAACGGAGGGAGUACAACAGAAGCGAACGCGAUACAUAUGUCGGUUUCGGAGGCGACGCUCCAGGAAUAACCGCUAUGACGGUUCCCACGGGGUGGGAUUACAUGUGUCUGACAAGUGGGGAUUAUCCCUUAAUUAAUCUAGGAUUAAUUAUUCU
Molecule: long non-coding RNA, 1146 nt
Organism: Triticum dicoccoides
Lineage: Eukaryota; Viridiplantae; Streptophyta; Magnoliopsida; Poales; Poaceae
Exons: 2
Source: RefSeq, a predicted model, not a curated record